This 151-nucleotide ribosomal RNA is filed under the name uncultured bacterium. Its description in RNAcentral is "partial 16S ribosomal RNA". It matches the Rfam family "Bacterial small subunit ribosomal RNA", at positions 356 to 504 of the family's 1533-position model. The record is from RNAcentral.
GAGGAAUAUUGGUCAAUGGGAGAGAUCCUGAACCAGCCAAGCCGCGUGAGGGAAGACGGCCCUAUGGGUUGUAAACCUCUUUUGUCGGAGAACAAAACCCGGGACGUGUCCCGGACUGCGUGUAUCCGAAGAAAAAGCAUCGGCUAACUCC